UGGCUAUAUGUUUCGUUGAAUAGUGAAAAUUCUUUCUUAAUGAAUUUCCUUGACGUUUUAAUACUUUACAUAGAAAAAAAAAAUGGAAUUUUGUUCGUGUUGUUGUGUGUGAUUAUUAUAGGUGCUCUUUCGAACGUGGCACUUGCUAGUUCGAUGAUAGCGAUUUUGGGUAAGAUUGUGUCUUCUCUUUCUUUAAAGAAAAAAAGAUAAGUCUUCGUUGAAUCAUAUGUGCUCUAACCUUUGCUUGUUGUCUUUUUCACUAAAACAAAAUGUUUUCCAAAAAACAAAUAUGCUUUCCUUUUCUCUGUUUUUUUUUCGGUUUUCAGUGCCCUAAUAUCAUAAAAGUCCAUUCGUGCAGGUAUGCAUUGAUAAUUGUUUUCCGAAAGUAGGAGCAAUGAACUAUAAUUAAUCUUGUUAUUUUCAUCCGAAAAAAUUGUAGAUCUGAUAGCUUUAUGCCAAACCAUAUCCUAAACACUAAUUAUUUGCUUAAGGGACAUUUCAG
This 502-nucleotide long non-coding RNA is filed under the name Brassica rapa (field mustard). RNAcentral describes it as "long non-coding RNA (BRAP_LNC001486)". Lineage: Eukaryota; Viridiplantae; Streptophyta; Magnoliopsida; Brassicales; Brassicaceae. The record is from RNAcentral.